CCAAGUGAACUCCUUUAAAAGAUGUGUUUUCAUAACCACCAAAAUGUGUCAAGUAACAAAUAAAACUUAGUUGGAAAAAAAUGUCAUUCUAAACUAAAUAACUAUAAUAAAUCCAAUAUCUAAAGGGAAGCGAGGUGGGCAACUACGUCUUACCACCUUUUUUAGUUGAUUCAUACAAACCCAAACAAAAUAAAAGCAUAGCAUAAAUAUAAAGGAAAUACUCAUGGGUAAAAUGUUAGCCAAAAGACAACAACGCAUAUAUGAUAUAAAGAAUGCGAAAACUUUGAAGCAAGAAGGAAACGUUGGACACUAUUGACAUGAUGAAGGCUGCUAGACACAAGCGAUAACGUAGGCGAGCAUAAAUCUGAUUUGGACAGAUGAAUGGAGUUGUAUCACAACUCCAAAUGCGCUCCCGAGUGUAUAUGUGAAAUAAACAAAAGAAGAGAAUUAGUAAAUGAGAUUCGAAACUUGUGAGAAAGCACAUCAAAAUAGAUUCUACCUAGCCAUCUGUUAACCCAAAUUCAGGCUUACUUAUUCCGGCAAUCAGACUCUUGGAAAACAUGUUUUUUACAGAUUCAUAUCCCUCCAAAUUUUAUGUACAAUAGUUAGGAGCUUCAAUGUUCAGGAAUAUAUAUUUUUAUGUCAUCAAACAGGUUUAAGCAUGUCUACAACUGCCUACGGAAGCAUGAGACUAUAUAUUUAUUCUUUGAGUCCAACAAAAGAAGCCAAACAAUAUUAUCACAUGUAGCUUAUAAGGAACAAAAGAGGAUACUGUAGAUUGUCUUGGUAAUAACAAUAUUAUAUGUAUAAGAGUAUGAAGUGUAUAUGCAUUUAUUUAUUUUUUAGAAUAAAGGUCUACACAUUUACAGGCAGGGUGAACAAUUUUAUGAUAAAAAGAGAUGAAGGCUUUGAAAGAACUCUAAACAGUAACAAAACUAGGAUGGAAUGCAUAUGCACUGAACAUAUCUAUGCUGAAGUUCGCAUUGGUGUUGGGCUUGCAUUUCCAAACCAGAAACAAACAUAGAGAACUCGUAGUUAAUAACGGCCCAUUUCUUAAACCGGUUAAAAAAAACUUAGCAUUUCUGGAACUCUUGACAACAUGUCAUUGAAAGGCACAUAAACGCUUAAGUAAAUGUUUAAAUUCGUCAUUAUAGGAGAGGAAAAUCCAUGACUAUACUACUUAAUCAAAUAUAAUAAACUAACAUCAUUGAACUAAUAUGGUGGUAGCGGACUGCAUUAC
RNAcentral lists this long non-coding RNA (1240 nucleotides) under Solanum tuberosum (potato). Its description in RNAcentral is "long non-coding RNA (STUB_LNC007011)". The record is from RNAcentral. Lineage: Eukaryota; Viridiplantae; Streptophyta; Magnoliopsida; Solanales; Solanaceae.